AACGACUCUCGACAAUGGAUAUCUCGGCUCUUGCAUUGAUGAAGAACGUAGCAAAAUGCGAUACUUGGUGUGAAUUGCAGAAUCCAAUGAACCAUCGAGUCUUUGAACGCAAGUUGUGCUCGAAGCCAUUAGGCCGAGGGCACGUCUGCCUGGGCGUCACGC
RNAcentral lists this ribosomal RNA (162 nucleotides) under Gomphostemma sp. GY-2016. RNAcentral's name for it is "5.8S ribosomal RNA". It matches the Rfam family "5.8S ribosomal RNA". Rfam says of the family: 5.8S ribosomal RNA (5.8S rRNA) is a component of the large subunit of the eukaryotic ribosome. It is transcribed by RNA polymerase I as part of the 45S precursor that also contains 18S and 28S rRNA. Lineage: Eukaryota; Viridiplantae; Streptophyta; Magnoliopsida; Lamiales; Lamiaceae. The record is from RNAcentral.